CCAAACUCCUACGGGAGGCAGCAGUGGGGAAUAUUGCACAAUGGGGGAAACCCUGAUGCAGCAACGCCGCGUGAGUGAAGAAGUAUUUCGGUAUGUAAAGCUCUAUCAGCAGGAAAGAAAAUGACGGUACCUGACUAAGAAGCCCCGGCUAACUACGUGCCAGCAGCCGCGGUAAUACGUAGGGGGCAAGCGUUAUCCGGAUUUACUGGGUGUAAAGGGAGCGUAGACGGUUUUGCAAGUCUGAAGUGAAAGCCCGGGGCUUAACCCCGGGACUGCUUUGGAAACUGUAGAACUAGAGUGCAGGAGAGGUAAGUGGAAUUCCUAGUGUAGCGGUGAAAUGCGUAGAUAUUAGGAGGAACACCAGUGGCGAAGGCGGCUUACUGGACUGUAACUGACGUUGAGGCUCGAAAGCGUGGGGAGCAAACAGGAUUAGAUACCCUGGUAGUCCACGCCGU
RNAcentral lists this ribosomal RNA (455 nucleotides) under uncultured bacterium. Its description in RNAcentral is "bacterial SSU rRNA". It matches the Rfam family "Bacterial small subunit ribosomal RNA", at positions 331 to 803 of the family's 1533-position model. The record is from RNAcentral.